AUUGAACGCUGGCGGCAGGCUUAACACAUGCAAGUCGAGCGAGCGGCGGACGGGUGAGUAAUGUCUGGGAAACUGCCUGAUGGAGGGGGGUAACUACUGGAAACGGUAGCUAAUACCGCAUACUACCAGAUGUGCCCAGAUGGGAUUAGCUAGUAGGUGGGGUAAUGGCUCACCUAGGCGACGAUCCCUAGCUGGUCAGAGAGGUUGACCAGCCACACGGGAACGGAGACACGGCCCAGACUCCAACGGAAGGCGGAGUAGGGGAAUAUUGCACAAGGGGCGAAAGCCGGAGACGGCCAUGCGGCGUGUGGGAAGAAGGCCUUGGGGUGGUAAAGCACUUUCAGCGAGGAGGUGUUACUCGCAGAGAAAGCACCGGCUAACUCCGUGCCAGCAGCCGCGGUAAUAC
This 406-nucleotide ribosomal RNA is filed under the name uncultured bacterium. Its description in RNAcentral is "partial 16S ribosomal RNA". It matches the Rfam family "Bacterial small subunit ribosomal RNA", at positions 29 to 526 of the family's 1533-position model. The record is from RNAcentral.